This 1763-nucleotide unclassified non-coding RNA is filed under the name Eurytemora carolleeae. Its description in RNAcentral is "uncharacterized LOC111696117". Lineage: Eukaryota; Metazoa; Arthropoda; Copepoda; Calanoida; Temoridae. The record is from RNAcentral.
AAAUAACUGUUGUAUGGUCCUGUGUGGUCCAAAUCCUCCCUCACUUAUAGACGCAAGGGGAAUAGCCCUGCCCCAGGGUGAGGGUGUGAGCAGCUAUGGAACUGUAGUGGGUGAGGGUGGAGGGGGUGGAGGACUAUUUCAUGAGGUUAGAACUCCCUCCUCAGGAGUACCUAGUAUAGCACAGUUACAUAGGCAUCUCUCUAACACAACACAAGAUGUAAUAGAUAAGGCCCCUACGUUGUCUGGCUCUCCGGUAAGCACACCUCCGGGAGGAGCCUCCGAGCCUCAUGGAGUCCCACGUUUGGCCUCCGAACCUCUUUCUGGAGGACUCCCUCGAACCUCCCCGUCCAACAAUACACUCAGCUCACAAAACCUUUCACUUCAUGACAGUAAUAUCAAGGAUAUAAAGGAGACCCUGGACUUGGACCAAACAACUAUGAUAGGGUCAGCUCUAGACCUAGAUUCACUAGAUGGAGACCAGGAACAGCAAAUACAAGAACAACGACGUAAGGAGAAGGAACAGUUUUCUCAUGUCGGCUCACAGAUGAAGUUAUCUAAGCUGUCAGCUGUGUGACGUAGUGUUCAGCGCCCCAGCAAACCCUCCAGUUUGCUACGAAGGGGCGCUGGGAUUAAGGUGUUGAAGAUAGCAAAUCCAUGUGACGAAGUGUAGAAAAUCCACGGAACUGAUAAAAAGAAAUGCACACAAGGUUUCGUAAACCUGAUUUCUGUGCGCCAAUGCCAACAUACAUCUAAAGUGACAUAAAUGGCAUGAAAGAACUAGAAGACAAAGUUAUCAUAGAUUUCAACCUUGAAAAGUGAAAAGUGAAAUUUAUAACAUUUUAUAUCAUGUACGAACUGCCUGUUUUAAGAAAUAGGCUUUGAAGCAUUUAUUUAGACUGAAUAUUUCGUUAAAUCCGAAUUCCUAAGCUCUUGAUUAAAUCCUACAGAUUGUAGAGAAAAUAGAAGAAACGAAAGAGGUUGAAGAAUAUUUGUACAAAAUAAGCUCUAAACAGCCAAUACUUACAUGCACACACAGGGCCAUAAAGUUAAUGAGAACAAAUAAGCCUAAGUGCAAUCUCUAAUGAUCUUAAAUAUAUUUAAAUUUUAAUAAUAAUUGGUCUAAAUUAUUGUAAACUCUGCAAGUUAAUUAUGUACGUUUAUGCAAAAUCUUAUUUGUAUCACCAAACAUAAACACACAAACUCUAAAUCUGCACCGUUAAGCACUGAAGUUUAGUUAAAGAAAUCAUUUCUCUCUUAUUAAAUCCUGUAAAAAUUUAACAAGCAUAUUUUUGAAACAGGCCUUUGAUGGAUUUUUAUUACAGAUUAACGUUGUUAAAGGGUAAAUCGCCAUAUCUUGUUCUCUUUAAUUGUAAAACCAUUUUUACUCGCAUUAACUGUACUUUCUUUAAUUUAAAGUAGAUUUAGGAUACAAUUUGAAAUAAAGAAAGGUCAAAGUAAAAAAACAGAAACAAAUUUAAUGCAGGUGAUCAUAUUGACCGUUAUUUUAUCAUAUAGUGUACAGUGUACACUGUACACUUCACCUUGUUCAUUUUUGUCUUCAAUCUUUGUUUUACAUUUGAGGAAUUAUGCUGAUAAAUUACAUUACACACUAACCUAGCACUGUAAAUUGUAUCCUUAAAAGUGACUCAAACUUAGACAAAUGAUUGGUUAUUAAUUUUUCUUCUCUAAUAUUUAUUAAAUUGUUAGAAAUAUACUUAAUGUCUAAUCUUCUUUAUUAGUUUCUUUUUAAUAAAUAUUCUUAA